Non-coding RNA from Dermacentor andersoni, 73 nucleotides. NCBI's taxonomy places the organism in Eukaryota, Metazoa, Arthropoda, Arachnida, Ixodida, Ixodidae. The record is from the annotation of a RefSeq genome assembly.
GCCACGGUAGCUCAAUCGGUAAGAGCAUCACACACGGAAUGUGAAGACGUGGGUUUGUAUCCCACCUGCGGCC